CUCAUUAUGAACCAAACAGCAAAGUGCAAACGCCAAAGUUUGAAAAGAAAACCGUUCAUCUGCCGACUGCCAUUCUGCCUUGCGCCUCUGGUUGCCAACAAUUGAAAUUUGAAAAAAAAAAUAAAUAAAAAUAAAUCGUGCCCCACUAACUCAAAAUUUCUACGCCCGCCACUGCCCACGUAUCAUCUCCUACUACCUCACGUUUCAAGUGAAGGACCUCCACCUAUCCAACGGUUGGUUGUGCCCAUGAUGAUAACUGUUAAACGAUCCCCCAUCCAAUUCAAUGAUGUUCUUGCUAUUAAGUGGCGUGCUGGUCUCGUAGUGAUAGAUGACCUUAUAAUGGUAGGAUGAUUGUAAAGAAUCUCGUAAUGGUCGAUAGCCCAUCAUGGAUGUAGAGGACCUCAUAGCGAUCGACGGCCCAUUAUGGUCGUAGAGAACCUCAUAGUAUCGACGACCUAGCAUGCGACACUUUAG
Molecule: long non-coding RNA, 474 nt
Filed under: Olea europaea subsp. europaea
Lineage: Eukaryota; Viridiplantae; Streptophyta; Magnoliopsida; Lamiales; Oleaceae
Source: RNAcentral